GUACACACCGCCCGUCACAUCAUGAAAGCCGAUUGUACCCGAAGUGGCUGUAGCGUCCCGCAAGGGGGCAAGGUYCCUAAGGUAUGGUUGGUGAUUGGGAUGAAGUCGUAACAAGGUWKCCGUAGGUGAACCUGCAGAAGGAUCA
Molecule: ribosomal RNA, 145 nt
Filed under: uncultured eukaryote
Lineage: Eukaryota
Description: partial small subunit ribosomal RNA
Source: RNAcentral